AACGAACGCUGGCGGCAGGCCUAACACAUGCAAGUCGAGCGGACCCUUCGGGGUUAGCGGCGGACGGGUGAGUAACGCGUGGGAAUAUGCCCUUCUCUACGGAAUAGUCCUGGGAAACUGGGGGUAAUACCGUAUACGCCCUUUGGGGGAAAGAUUUAUCGGGGAAGGAUUAGCCCGCGUUGGAUUAGGUAGUUGGUGGGGUAAUGGCCUACCAAGCCGACGAUCCAUAGCUGGUUUGAGAGGAUGAUCAGCCACACUGGGACUGAGACACGGCCCAGACUCCUACGGGGGGCAGUAGUGGGGAAUCUUAGACAAUGGGGGCAACCCUGAUCUAGCCAUGCCGCGUGAGUGAUGAAGGCCUUAGGGUUGUAAAGCUCUUUCAGCUGGGAAGAUAAUGACGGUACCAGCAGAAGAAGCCCCGGCUAACUCCGUG
This 433-nucleotide ribosomal RNA is filed under the name uncultured bacterium. RNAcentral's name for it is "partial 16S ribosomal RNA". It matches the Rfam family "Bacterial small subunit ribosomal RNA", at positions 29 to 507 of the family's 1533-position model. The record is from RNAcentral.